CUCUGUAUAAAAGUUUGUUGUUGUUGGAAAGCUUUGGAAAGGGAUGUUAAGCAUUGAAAUUUUUAAAAGUUGUUAUGAUGAUUUUUGUUUUCCAAAUAGUUUUUAAGAUGAAUCAUCAAUUUCAACUUACAAAUAAAAAUAAAAAUCACAAUUACAAUUACAAAAGAAACUUUUUUUCUACAGCCGCCGGAUAAAAUCGUCCUUCGUGGGUGAUGCUAGAUGAAGCAAUCGCAAUUUUCACACAAUUCCGAUAAGUUACGAUAAGCUUCGAAUAAUGGUAAGAUUCAGUUAACCAGCAAGAGCGGGUAGUCCGGGGAGCAGGAAGGAUCGGGAAGAUGAACUACCACCUUGAUGGAACGGAAUUCAAUUGAAAUAAAACGAAGGGAUAUGGCAAUAUAUUUGUUCUAAAAGAAGAAGAUUCCCAGAAUUUUAGAGGGCAGCCGGAGUUGUUUGAUAAAUUCUUCGCCCGUAAAUCGGAAGGAUCCAUCGUUUAGUGCUCGGGAUAUGUUGAGGGCUUCGCAGAAGAGAAAUUUCCCUUGGUUGGAGCUAGCCGAUGUUCACAAUGACACAACCGGGGGAUUACGAGCUACGAAUAUACUGUUUUAUAUGAACUGCCCCAAACCACCAGCUGCUUUCUGGCUCUACUGCAUCCGCCCAAAGAACCUGGGCAAGCUCCGGAGGCCAAGUUACAAAAGAUACGUUUUCAUGACGUUAAGGAUGCAACGAAAAGCAGCCGUUAAAGUACAUUAUAGCGUGGGUGGAAAUCUCGGGCAAAAGGAACACAGAACUGAAAGCAGGACCAAUGACUGGAUGACGAGAUAGUUAUAAUUUUGUUGUUUCCAAAGAGCAGCCAAAAUUUUACAAUAAUCAUCUCUCCUCCAGCGAGAAUACAAAACUAACAAAUAAUGGACGAUGGUAACGAGCUCGCUAAGCACCAUUCAGCACCUGAUGUAUACCAAUUUUGAAUUGAAGAUGCAGCUCAA
Molecule: long non-coding RNA, 983 nt
Organism: Uranotaenia lowii
Lineage: Eukaryota; Metazoa; Arthropoda; Insecta; Diptera; Culicidae
Exons: 5
Source: RefSeq, a predicted model, not a curated record